Molecule: ribosomal RNA, 292 nt
Filed under: uncultured bacterium
Lineage: Bacteria
Description: partial 16S ribosomal RNA
Rfam family: Bacterial small subunit ribosomal RNA
Source: RNAcentral
GUGCCAGCAGCCGCGGUAAGACGAACUGUGCAAACGUUAUUCGGAAUCACUGGGCUUAAAGGGUGCGUAGGCGGUCUUUUAAGUAGGGUGUGAAAGCCUCUGGCUCAACCAGAGAACUGCGCCCUAAACUAGAAGGCUUGAGUGAGGUAGGGGUGUGUGGAACUUCCAGUGGAGCGGUGAAAUGUGUUGAUAUUGGAAGGAACGCCGGUGGCGAAAGCGACACACUGGACCUUGUCUGACGCUGAGGCACGAAAGCCAGGGGAGCAAACGGGAUUAGAUACCCCCGUAGUCC